GGGUCAGGGGGGAGUGGGAAUUAGAUGGAUUUAUGCAUAGCGCAGGAGCGAGAAAGAGCACGGAGGAUUCCUCAGAGACUUGGAAUUAAUCUUCAGGUCUAAUGUUCAUGUAGUUUUUCAAAUCACACUGAGCCUGGUGUGUUCAAGGAAACGGUUGCCAAAAGAAAUAAUAUUGCCGUAAGAAAUAAUAUUUUCUGUAAAAUUGUCAGCAUUAUUUUAAAGUACCUUUUAAAUGCCCGUAAGCACCACUGAAAAUCUGUUUUCCCUGAGGAGUUAAAUGUCAGCCUUAAGCUCCUGAUCCUUCAGGAUUUAAAGAAGGUCACAAUAAAUAUUUAAUGAGUCUACGAGGACAGAUAUAGCUUCUACAAGAGCGACUAAGAAGAACCUUCUCUUUUCCAUCCAGGGUAGCGUCGGCUCCAGUGGUCUGGGAGUGGAAAAUGCUGCUGUCUAUAUAUAUCACCUAUAACAGAACAUACUGGACUUUCAAUUGCCAAUUCUAUCUAAAAUUGCAUGAAAUCUCUGUUACCUGGAAUCAGUUCAUUCGCUAAGCGGAAGUCACCUUGAAAUGCUCUGAAAGUCCUCGAUUCCCUCAAAUAUGCAUUUGAUUCCCUAAUUCAGUGAUUAGUGCUUGUAAUAACAUCAAGGUAAAUACACAAGAAGAUGAAAAGUGUUACUGAUACCUCAUAAGGGGAGGUUUCCAGCAACAGUUUCAUCAAAAGAAUCAAAGUCAGUUCCCAUUUAAGACCGGGAAUUAAUUGUGGAACUCUUUUUAGCUAUUCCAGCUUGUGACUCACUGUGCAAAGCUGCGUUGGCUCUAAGAUCUUUCUGUUUCACCCAGCAAUAGAACUAGCCUGGGAACUGAAGAGCAGCGGGAUGCAGGGAACUAUCAGCUAUGAAAAAUCCUGCAAUUUAUGGAACUUUUAAAAAUAAUAAACUGAAGCACCAAAAAGACAAAGGUUUCUGUUUU
Chroicocephalus ridibundus (black-headed gull) is the source of this 967-nucleotide long non-coding RNA. RefSeq lists it as uncharacterized. NCBI's taxonomy places the organism in Eukaryota, Metazoa, Chordata, Aves, Charadriiformes, Laridae. The transcript has 3 exons. The record is from RefSeq and is a predicted model, not a curated record.